Molecule: ribosomal RNA, 253 nt
Filed under: uncultured bacterium
Lineage: Bacteria
Description: partial 16S ribosomal RNA
Rfam family: Bacterial small subunit ribosomal RNA
Source: RNAcentral
UACGGGGGGUGCGAGCGUUGUCCGGAAUCACUGGGCGUAAAGGGCGCGUAGGUGGUUUGAUAAGGGUGUGGUGAAAGCCCGGGGCUCAACCCCGGGUCUGCCGUGCCGACUGUCAAACUCGAGGGCUGUAGAGGCAGACGGAAUUCCGGGUGUAGCGGUGGAAUGCGUAGAGAUUUGGAGGAACACCAGUGGCGAAGGCGACUUUCUGGUCUGUAACUGACACUGAGGCGCGAAAGCGUGGGGAGCGAACAGG